This 481-nucleotide ribosomal RNA is filed under the name uncultured bacterium. Its description in RNAcentral is "partial 16S ribosomal RNA". It matches the Rfam family "Bacterial small subunit ribosomal RNA", at positions 30 to 507 of the family's 1533-position model. The record is from RNAcentral.
AUUGAACGCUGGCGGCAUGCUUUACACAUGCAAGUCGAACGGUAACAGGCCGCAAGGUGCUGACGAGUGGCGAACGGGUGAGUAAUGCAUCGGAACGUGCCCAGUCGUGGGGGAUAACUACUCGAAAGAGUAGCUAAUACCGCAUACGAUCUAUGGAUGAAAGCGGGGACCGUAAGGCCACGCGCGAUUGGAGCGGCCGAUGUCAGAUUAGGUAGUUGGUGGGGUAAAGGCUCACCAAGCCAACGAUCUGUAGCUGGUCUGAGAGGACGACCAGCCACACUGGGACUGAGACACGGCCCAGACUCCUACGGGAGGCAGCAGUGGGGAAUUUUGGACAAUGGGCGCAAGCCUGAUCCAGCAAUGCCGCGUGCAGGAAGAAGGCCUUCGGGUUGUAAACUGCUUUUGUACGGAACGAAACGGCUCUGGUUAAUACCCGGGGCUAAUGACGGUACCGUAAGAAUAAGCACCGGCUAACUACGUG